RNAcentral lists this ribosomal RNA (296 nucleotides) under uncultured bacterium. RNAcentral describes it as "partial 16S ribosomal RNA". It matches the Rfam family "Bacterial small subunit ribosomal RNA", at positions 28 to 307 of the family's 1533-position model. The record is from RNAcentral.
GACGAACGCUGGCGGCGUGCCUAACGCAUGCAAGUCGAACGGGGUCUUAAGGAGGAAAGCUUCGGCAGGAAUCCUUAAGAUCUAGUGGCGGACGGGUGAGUAACGCGUGAGUAACCUGCCUCAAAGAGGGGGAUAACAACGAGAAAUCGUUGCUAAUACCGCAUAAGACCACGCUCCCGCAUGGGAGAGAGGUCAAAGCUCCGGCGCUUUGAGAUGGACUCGCGUCCCAUUAGGUAGUUGGUGAGGUAACGGCCCACCAAGCCGACGAUGGGUAGCCGAGCUGAGAGGCUGAUCGG